CAAUACUGCUCCAAUAACCAUCCCUUUAGAAGCCUCUGUCUUUACCCUCUCAUCCACAAGAAACACUGUCUUAACUGCUACCCUAUUUCUACCUUCCUUCCUCUGAAGGAACUGUGAGCUUAUACUGAUGGGUCAAUCAAUUUCCUUCCUUAGAUCAGAGCUGGGAUCUCUGAAGUGUAUACCAAACUGAGCUUCAUGCAGAGUCGUAAAACUGGAUCUGCCACUGUCAUUCCCCUGUAACAGAAAUGAGAAAAAUGGUAAUAAGUGUAAAUUUUUGUGGCUGUCAGGUCUAGUUUUCUGGGGGAAAAGGAACACCUUAUAAUGCAACCACUUAAAGUUUUGUAUGAAAUAAUUAAGAAGUGUGAGUGUUACCUUUUGAAUUUUGCUACACAUAUAUGGCAUGUUGCUAAAAUGCUUUCUUUUUGUUUGCUGGACUGGGUAUCACAGCACUAGACUGAGGGGGAAAGCAGCAUUGACCCACUUUGACUUAGGAUGGCCGAUUUCGCUUAUUAAGGCUGUACUUUGCUUUUAUUUUGCUCUAAGCACAUACCUGGGGCGUACCUCCUGAUAGCAAACACAAUGUUUUUACAUUCAGAGACUGGUGGGGUAGGAUUUUUGCAGUCCAUGUACAGGCUGUAAGAGUUUUAGAAUGAGAAGUAAAUAACAUGAUACUGAAAUUCUUGAGAGGUUUAUAGUUUAAAACUAAAAAUAAAGCAGGAGUGUCAUGUCUGUAUAAGGGAUAGUAAAUUCUUCUUGUAUUUUUUUGAAAAACGUAUUUCUGAUAAGAACAAAGAAUUAUCCCUGAAAGGUAUACCAUUUUUUCCCCUCUUUUAGAAUGUAGGUUAUGAGAAAAACAUUACAUGGCUUUUAUUAUACAGGAAAUGUACUUGAAGUGCAGAAUGCUUGGGAACGGAUGCCUGCUUUACUGCUAUGAAUUGUUCAUGAUACGUCUUUUCUUAUAUGCAUCAAACAUAGCGCUUGCUGCAGAGAUGCAUGUGAUUUGUCUCCUCUCCUGAGAAAUGGUAAUUGGCUUCAGUUUACUUAGGCUACUGCAGCACAAUUUAUUUUCGUAGCUUAGCUGAGGCUCAUAUUGCAGCAUAUUUUCUUCUAUGAGGGUGAAGUAUUUAAUUUGUAAAGUGAUGGAGAGUGUGCAUUGCAUUACAAAGACAGAACGUAUCUCUGCUCUGUGGCGUUUAGUGGGAACAGAUCAAAGUACUUGACCAUUCUCCUUAUCUUUUCUUGUUAAAUUGUACAUGAACUAAUCAUGGUCUUUUAGAAAACAUCCAUUACAAUCAACUUAGUAAUCUGACUAAUGAACUGUGGUUACUAUUUGCUUUGUCUGUUUAUGAUAAAUUAUUUCUGUGGCUUUCUGCCUUGGUCACAUGGUGUUAUUUCUGUUUUCUAAGUGGAUAACCAAACAUUCUUCAAACAGGCAGCAAAUAGCAAACAAUGAAAACGUAUUUUAAUUAUGGAUUUUUUUCCUGUUAGUUAAGUGAUUUUUUUUCUUCCUGCUAGUAUUUCCUUACAGUUUUUGAAAGGUAUCUCCCUAGAAGAACUAAAGAGAUGAACAUAAUAUAUGCAACAAAUGGCACUUUGAAGAGAGCCAAGGACUUCAGUUGAAAUAUAUUCACACAAUUGUAAUGAUUUAUAUAGUGAUAAUAAUGGCAUAACAUAGCAUGCCAGAGAUAAGCCCUAUGAGCAAGGGCUUUAUUGAUUUUUAUUACUGUCCAACAUAAUUUUACCUUCUGAAUGAUUGCUUAAUAUACAUAUCUUAAACAAAUACAAUACUGUAUGCAACUCAUAAUGAAUUCUAGGAAGUACUGAGUAUUCACAGCUUCCCUUAGUUAAUUUCACAAUACUUUUUUUGCCACUGCACCCUUAGCUUUCAUCCUUUGAUAAUACUUCAGUGCUGAAUUAGCUUCAGUUAAUUCUGCAAGCUCAUUACUCUUUUAUGACAGUGCACAUGUUAGUACUGCUGCAUUAGCUUGUGUGAGGCACUAAGACUUCUGGGAACGCUAACUUGGGAACAGCAAUAAGCUGUGCUGUCCUAUGAAUUAAUUUGCAUUGUACUGAAUAAAGAUAUGUCUCCUUUCUGGGCAUCCAUGUGGAAAUUUUUUAAUCUAAAAACUCAUUAAAGAAAAGAGCAAGUAAUCAGCAUACACUACAGGAAUGACCAGGCUCUACUGUCAGUAC
This 2193-nucleotide long non-coding RNA is filed under the name Gallus gallus (chicken). RNAcentral describes it as "lncRNA (ENSGALG00010026414.1)". The record is from RNAcentral. Lineage: Eukaryota; Metazoa; Chordata; Aves; Galliformes; Phasianidae.